UGUGUGUGGUUAUUUACUGAACUCAACUCUCAUUAACGAGUCUCAUAUUCUCAUUAUUCAGUCAGAACCAGAAAUUUUCCAAAAAUCUUGCUUUUUAAGGUAAUAAAUUACACUGGUGCUUUUAUUUCGAAAGGAUAAAGAGGAAAUGUGUGGGGGUAAAUAUGUAACUGUCAAUUAGUCUUUAAAUAGUCCUAAUUAACCAUUCUAAGGCAAAACGGUGGAAAAAAAAACGGUGCAGUUAAAGCUAAUAAGUUGCAUUGGUGCUUUUAUUUUGAAAGGAUUUAGAGAAAGUGUGUGCGUAAUUAUUACACAAUCCAAUAGUGUUGUUGACUAAUCAGUAAUAAGCAUGGAACUGCUGUGUACACUGAGCAACAGGAGUUUGACCUGUCAGUCAAAUCUGCAGCUGUGCUGUUGCCAUAGAGACGAAAGGUGGGGAAUUCAGGCUCACUCUGCUCUGUGAAAGCAGACUUUCACCCUUGAUAAAUAGGCUUGUUUCAGCAAAACCAUAAUAGUUAUAACAGAAAUAACUUUAAUUUAUGAAUCCCAAGGCUUCAAUGAACAACUGGUUUGAAUUAUCUGGUUUAGGACUAAAGAUUGCGGUCCCACUCAUGAUUUCAAAAUGUGUCUCCUUGUAUGACUACAAACGAGAGAAAGAUUUACAUUGAUAGAGUGAAAACUGUGGCUAUAGUGACAAGUUAAAAAAAAUCUGGCUUAAAAAACAUGCCCUCAUACUCUAGCUGUGACAUCACACACUCUAGGUCACGCAAUACACACCAAUGGAAACACUGAAUAAUCACUGACAACCACAUGAUAUUUAGAUGCUACAAAGUCGAAAACUAUAAAAGACACAAGAACUUUGAUUUACAAGGAGAAAGUUGAACAAUGAUAGAUGCUUUUAAAGAUUAAAUGAUGUUUCUAUGCCAAAGUAUGACAAUGACAGAAGCUGAUGAAAAGAGGGCAGUUGACAAAAAGUUGAACGAUGAUUCCCAUAGACGACCAUUAUAAAAAAAAAAUAAUGAAAAACGUUGAAUAACGUUGAAAGUUUAAAAUCUGGAAACCUGGAAAGUAAUAGCCCCUAGUAAUAAGUGUUACUGCGCUCAGUCACUAAUCUACUGCAGCUACGCUGUUGUCAUGGAGACAGUGCUCCAAAGGCAGGAACCUCCACAGUCCAGCUCAAUAGUUCCAGUGAAGCUGAUUUCUACCCCUGCUUAACUGGGUUGUUACAGCAAAACCAUAAGGGUUAUCACAAAAAUAACUUCACUUUAUGAAUUCCAAGGCUUCAGUGUGAAACUGGCGUGUGUUUUAUUUUUAAGGAGUAAAAAUUGCGGCAACAGUCGCAAUUUAAAAAUUCCAAUCCUCCUUCAUUUCUUCACAGAAGUCUUCCAGGUAAAUGCAUUAGAGUCUAUGGAGGAUUUCUGGAACUCUCUGCAAUUUGAGGCAGCUACAAACUAAAGUGUAGCUCUGAGGGCUUAACCAGACCCAUCAUUGAAAAAAGACAAGUAAGAUUAUGACUUAGUGAAAAAAUAUGUGUAAAAAAUAUGUUCAUAGAGAGAAAACUGUGGCUGUAGUGAUGAGUUAAAGAAAAAGGUUCUGUCUUAAAAAACAAGCUUUCACACUCUAGCUGUGACAUCACGCACUCUAGCUGACGCAAUACACACUAAUGGAAAAGCUGACUAAAGAUUCUUAAUCCUGCAGCGGGCUUAAAAAAACAGGACGCUAGUCUCGUUUUAACCACCAGAUGGCAAAGCAUUGAUUAGAAGCCUCCAAUGCACUACAGCGUAACUGAGGUCCAACUGUUCAUAAUCACAUAAUCACAGAAUUAUGUGAAGCCAAUAUAUUGUAUUAGAUGUCAGAGUGGUGGGUAUGUACAUAUUCUUAAGAUAUGCAUGCUGUCAAAUUGCAUAUUGAAUUGCCAAAUGCAAAAUGGAUUUUCAAAUUCAUCUAUACAUUUUCCAUACCGCCUAAUCCUGUAUGUGGGGGUGCUGGAGCCUAUCCCAGCUGGCUAUGGGCGAGAGGCGGGGUACACCCUGGACAGGUCGCCAGUCCAUCGCAGGGCAACACAUAGACAACCAUUUACACACGCACUCACACCUAAGGGCAAUGGUAGUCAGCCAAGCUAAUGCACAUUUUUGGACAGCAGGAGGAAGCCAUUUUCAAAUUGAAUGAUGAUAUUGCAUAUUGAAUUGCCAAUUGAGAAAUGUAUUGUGAAUUGGAUUUUGAGUCUGAAAAACUGUUUCCUCUGUGUCUGCAGAACUGCAGUUUGACUUGUUCUGACUGCGUGACUGGCCAAAUAAAGACAGAGCGAAGUCCAUUUGCAAACUCAGCCGCUGAUUUAGGUUUUAAACUUCCACAACUUGUUAAUGAAUGUUUUCCAAUAGUCGUAGAUUUUACGUAAAUAACUGUAAUAAUCAAUCAAUUAGUUUUACAGCAGUUGUCGAUCUUAACUUUGACAGGCAAAAAUAAUUAGUUUUUUACAAAAAGACACCGAAUUGGGUUUAAGAUGUUUUUUUGUUUACAGACAAACGGAAAACAAGAAAAGUCGUUCUCUCGUUACCUCUGCUUAUCAUUUGGUGGAGACAUCAUCUCUUAAAAGUUACACAAACCUUAAAGGAGUCAUAUCAUGCUUUUCAUUCUAAAAAAUAUUAGACUUUAAUGUCUCAGUAAGGUCUCUGUAAAUUUUCAUCCCAUAAAACCCUUUAGAUCGUCCACACUGCCCCUGUCAAUCUGUGGUUUUUACUCCCCAUCAGCAAACGCUGUGUUUUCUGGGCGUGUCGCAAGCGAAGCUGCUCACCACACCUCUGUGCGGAAGCGCAUACCUUUUUUGUUGUUUUUUUUUUAAAUUGGCUCCAUGGAUACGAGCCACCGCACGGUUAGGAUACUAUAGGUGGCAGUAGUGCGACAUUGAGAGUGCAAUCCACCGCAAUCCUCCACAGAAGAAGAAGACCCACUACAGAACUGCACGACAUUAGUCAGCUGGUUCGUAGCGUAGUAGAACCAUACGUCUACGAUCCCGAAUCUGACCCUGAAGCUGAAGAGGAGGCUGUUGAAGUCACCACAUUUCGGCUGAUGCAAGAUGUGUCUCAUUGUUGUUACAGGUAUCUAGUCUACAGAGGCUAGUGAGCUGGUGCUGAGGAUUCCUGGGGUGAAGAAUCUGAGUUGCCAUCUCUUCAUGCUUGGGUUGUAGAUGAAGGCAGUUUCCUGAUGGAUAAAACACUAAAACACUCAUAGUAUGAUUGAUGUAGACCACCUGUAGAAUAACUCCUUUACCGUUUGAGUAAAAAUGUGUUUUUUUGUGAGUGCAACACUCAUUAAGAAUUUUUUUAACUUUAUUUAUAUAUAAUUUAUAUGCGUUUUAUUUAUGGCCGCUUCAACUUUAUAGCUUACCAUAUUAGAAAGAGAAAAACAUGUAAUUUCAAUACUAUGAUUUCCUAAAUAAAAGUGUUUUCCCUUCAGAAA
Molecule: long non-coding RNA, 3456 nt
Organism: Betta splendens (Siamese fighting fish)
Lineage: Eukaryota; Metazoa; Chordata; Actinopteri; Anabantiformes; Osphronemidae
Exons: 2
Source: RefSeq, a predicted model, not a curated record